UACGUAGGGGGCAAGCGUUGUCCGGAUUUAUUGGGCGUAAAGAGCGUGUAGGCGGUCAGGUAGGUCCGUUGUGAAAACUCGAGGCUCAACCUCGAGACGCCGAUGGAAACCAUCUGACUAGAGUCCGGAAGAGGAGAGUGGAAUUCCUGGUGUAGCGGUGAAAUGCGCAGAUAUCAGGAAGAACACCAAUGGCGAAGGCAGCUCGCUGGGACGGUACUGACGCUGAGGCGCGAAAGCGUGGGGAGCGAACAGG
RNAcentral lists this ribosomal RNA (253 nucleotides) under uncultured bacterium. Its description in RNAcentral is "partial 16S ribosomal RNA". It matches the Rfam family "Bacterial small subunit ribosomal RNA", at positions 524 to 776 of the family's 1533-position model. The record is from RNAcentral.